RNAcentral lists this ribosomal RNA (453 nucleotides) under uncultured organism. RNAcentral describes it as "partial 16S ribosomal RNA". It matches the Rfam family "Bacterial small subunit ribosomal RNA", at positions 332 to 801 of the family's 1533-position model. The record is from RNAcentral.
UACACUCCUGCGGGAGGCAGCAGUGGGGAAUAUUGGACAAUGGGCGCAAGCCUGAUCCAGCCAUGCCGCGUGAGUGAUGAAGGCCCUAGGGUUGUAAAGCUCUUUCACCGGUGAAGAUAAUGACGGUAACCGGAGAAGAAGCCCCGGCUAACUUCGUGCCAGCAGCCGCGGUAAUACGAAGGGGGCUAGCGUUGUUCGGAUUUACUGGGCGUAAAGCGCACGUAGGCGGACUAUUAAGUCAGGGGUAAAAUCCCGGGGCUCAACCCCGGAACUGCCUUUGAUACUGGUAGUCUUGAGUUCGAGAGAGGUGAGUGGAAUUCCGAGUGUAGAGGGGAAAUUCGUAGAUAUUCGGAGGAACACCAGUGGCGAAGGCGGCUCACUGGCUCGAUACUGACGCUGAGGUGCGAAAGCGUGGGGAGCAAACAGGAUUAGAUACCCGUGUAGUCCCAUGAU